RNAcentral lists this unclassified non-coding RNA (558 nucleotides) under Hevea brasiliensis (rubber tree). Lineage: Eukaryota; Viridiplantae; Streptophyta; Magnoliopsida; Malpighiales; Euphorbiaceae. The record is from RNAcentral.
GUUUUAGCUUCACAGAGGCUAAGAACUGGUGCCAUAGAUCCACUUUCACCAAACUGGGGCUCCGAUCCACCAUCACGGACAUCAAAGACGGCACCGUAAUGCACUGCUGGGUCCCAACGUCCCAGCNNNNNNNNNNNNCUCCUCCUUAUUCAUGGCUUAGGCGCUAACGCAUUGUGGCAGUGGGUUGAUGUCAUCCGCCACUUCACUCCUUGCUUCAACGUCUACGUUCCUGACUUAGUCUUCUUCGGCGAGUCGUUCACCACUCGGCCGGAGCGGAACGAGUCGUUCCAAGCGCAGUGCGUCAUGCGAGUCAUGGAGGCCUACUCGGUGCGGAAGCUGAGCUUGGUUGGGCUUAGUUACGGUGGGUUCGUUGGGUACUGUAUAGCGGCGCAGUACAAGGAAGCUGUGGAGAGAGUGGUGUUGUGUUGUUCUGGGAUUUGUAUGGAAGAGAAGGAUUUGAGGGAAGGGGUUUUUACAGUUUCGGAUUUGGAAGAGGCUGCAAGUAUUUUGGUGCCAUUGAAACCAGAUAAGCUGAGAGAGUUGGUGGGUUUUACGUUU